UGGGGAAUUUUGGACAAUGGGCGAAAGCCUGAUCCAGCAAUGCCGCGUGUGUGAAGAAGGCCUUCGGGUUGUAAAGCACUUUUGUCCGGAAAGAAAUCCUUGGCUCUAAUACAGUCGGGGGAUGACGGUACCGGAAGAAUAAGCACCGGCUAACUACGUGCCAGCAGCCGCGGUAAUACGUAGGGUGCAAGCGUUAAUCGGAAUUACUGGGCGUAAAGCGUGCGCAGGCGGUUUGCUAAGACCGAUGUGAAAUCCCCGGGCUCAACCUGGGAACUGCAUUGGUGACUGGCAGGCUAGAGUAUGGCAGAGGGGGGUAGAAUUCCACGUGUAGCAGUGAAAUGCGUAGAGAUGUGGAGGAAUACCGAUGGCGAAGGCAGCCCCCUGGGCCAAUACUGACGCUCAUGCACGAAAAGCGUGGGGAGCAAAACAGGAUUAGAUACCCCUGGUAGUCCACGCCCUAAAACGAUGUCAACUAGUUGUUGGGGAUUCAUUUCCUUAGUAACGUAGCUAACGCGUGAAGUUGACCGCCUGGGGAGUACGGUCGCAAGAUUAAAACUCAAAUGAAUUGACGGGGUCAUAGCUGUUUCC
RNAcentral lists this ribosomal RNA (588 nucleotides) under uncultured bacterium. RNAcentral describes it as "partial 16S ribosomal RNA". It matches the Rfam family "Bacterial small subunit ribosomal RNA", at positions 355 to 937 of the family's 1533-position model. The record is from RNAcentral.